CGUACCGCGCUGCGCUUGGGAAAGAAAAACAGCGAGGGCGCACCGCACCACGCGAGGGCUUUCUCCUCCAUCCCCGUUCCCUCGUCUCAACCGGCCGCCACUCCAUCUCCAUCCCCUCCCCUCUCUCGCCGCCGCCCCGCUCCCGCUCCCGCUCUCCCUCCCCGCCGCCCGCUUCGCCUACUCCGGAGCCCUGCUGUCGUAAUCCCACCAUCCGGCUUGUGGCGAAGAGGACAGCCGCCGCCUCUUCCCUGCCUCCCCAUCUCGCCCGAAACAUCGCUCCUGGAGCCCUUCCCAGUCCACGGUGGAGCCCCCAUCCCAGCUCCGCAUCCGAGAUCCGCGACAAGGGAGGGGUGGAUCGAUGAUGUUGCAGCAAAGAGGAACGAGGUUGGGCAGUGGUGACGGAGCGGGAUAGGUGACGAGGAUGACCUGUGACUCCUCAUGGCAAAGAGGGAGGCAUGGCGCCUCAGCUCCGCCACCGACGACAGCCUCGACGGCUGCAGCAUGCGCAGUGCCGACAGGGUCAAGGUGCGGCAGUAUGGGAAGACGUGCAAGAAGCUCACUGGCAUGUUCAUGACACAGGAGUUGGCCACGCACUCUGGCUCUGUAUGGUGCAUUAACUUCAGCUUGGCUGGACGGUACCUUGCGAGCGCCGGCGAGGACCGUGUGAUCCAUGUCUGGGAGGUCUCCGAGGGUGAGAGAAAGGGGGAGCUGCUCGGGGAAGGUGCGGUUUCAAAGGAGAGUGGUGGCGGAGGCAGCCCGUUUGUGGCAGUUGCUGGAAAUGGAUCGUGGUGGUGGCAAUGUCGCCGCUCAGCAGUGCAGACAAGGGAUAUGUGGAGAAGAAGAGGAGGCCACGGGUGCAGAGCAGCAGCAAGUCUGUCGGUUCUGAUCAUCUGGUUGUGCCCGAGACCCCGAGUGCGUGUUUGGGUUCAGAGAUAAGCCAUUUUGCUCGCCCCUGGGGCACGCCGCUGAUGUUCUUGAUUUAUCAUGGUCCAAAUCUCAGGCAGGCAUUUCAAUUUUCUGUCAUGCUUCUAGAUAUCAAACGUGGUUGAGAAAGUUCCAUUUUUAAAAGGGGCUGGAGCUCCAUGGCUUACAGAUCUAACGACCCCUGAUGCUCUUUGCAUAUUUCCCAUGAUAACAUCACUGUUCGUCAUGCUUCCCUUUGAGGAGCGGCAGGUGCAGAAGCGUGUGCGAGGAGCGCCGUCGGUCGACCGGCCGGCGUUCUUUCUUCGUCAGGAAGGGUGCAGCCUGCUACUCAAGCCCCUCUCCUUCGCUCCUUGAAGAGCAGGAGAGGCAUGGGCACCACCACACUGGAGAGAUGGACGAGGACAUGAAGCUUUCGUGGAGAGGACGAGGUGGCCGCCGCUGCACCCCCACGCCGCGGACGCCGAGAUUCCCAUCCUCUCUGCCCUUGAUAACCACUUCGGCGGCGCCAUGAACGACACCAAUCGCCUCUUCUCGGCAGGCGCAGACCGCAUGGUCGUCUUCCUCUCCGGCUUCUUCUACACCAUCAGACUCAGACCCUCUCCCGCUCCCUCUCCCUCUGCAUCUCUGUAAAAAUAUGCUUAGGUCAACUAGGUGCAAGCCAAGGCGCUCACACCGAUUUAAGAUGGUGUGGGUGAUCAAUAGAAGACAAAUGAAUACACUGAUGGAAGGCCAUGUCAAAGUACCUUUCUAUUUUGUAUUUUCUUUUUGUUUAGGAUCUACUAUAAUUUCCCAGAAAGUUUUUAUUCCAUAGAUGAUAUUUGGUUUUAUUCUACAUUUUUUUCCUUUGCAAAGAUAGAUAUUAUAAGAGAUAAAUAGCAUGUACAUGUUAACCUUAUAUAGCCUUUUUUAUGAGCGAUAAUCUAACACUUACAAGAUCAUCUUAGGAUUUCCUAAUGGAUACUGUACACAUUCCACCAAGGAUUAUUUUAGAUGCUAUGCUGAAAGACACUAUAGCUCCCAAAAUCUGUAUACUACACCCAGCCUACAGGAAACGUUGGUAUAGAGUAGAGACUGUGACUGGGUUUUAUCCAUUUCUGCAGCACUUGCCAGAGUGCACUGUCAAGAGAUUUGUUUUUCGGUCUGAGUCAUCUUGCUACUUUUUCAGGUUUAUUUACAUAUGAAAUCACCAUAAUUUUUGCCAUGGCUCUGGUUCUUGAUAUAGUGCUUAAAAGCACUAUCCCAUCCUGAUUAUUCCAAUACAGUUUUUUGUCUCACUGAAUAUCGUCUUCGAGAACUGGGCAAUCUUCGAGUCCAUGAAGAGCACUCGCACGGUCAAGCACCAUGAGAUCUUCAUCCGCAACGCCGAGUGCGUUGUGCUCUUCACAGACCUUGAAGAUGAGGCCAGAGAGAUCCGCCGCCUACUGGGUUCGAUCGGAUGCCAUCGAUUUCACCCACCGCCAAUGACGGCGAGGCUGGUGGCUCUGGCAUUGAGCGAUAUACUUCACCUCUCACGUGAAAUGACAGCUGUUAAACAAGAGGUAGACACAACCAGUGAUACCAGCCCGAUUACCCAUGACGAACCACUGUGUCAGAAGCACAAUAAGCCAUACGAGUAUAUCCAUCGCCCACGCUAAGCAAACUCAAUCCAAAAGUUCAAAGGCAAGAAAAUUCAUGUAAAGCCUAGAAAGUACAUUCUCCGUGGUGAGCCUUGCAUCCACUACUUAGAUGAGUUUAGUCACCACAUUGUGUGGGGCAACACAGUUAAGCUCUACAACCAUAAUGUUCGUACACUGUGAAAGAUCAUCUGCAGCACCACCACGCCUGAUAACUACUAUGUGUGCCACAUGACAGAAACAUUUGCAACAGAAGGCAAAAGAAUGUACUUUAGCGUUCCCUUUUAUACGGGUUCCCUUUUCCCACACAUGGAUGCUGACCAUGGUAAACUGCCAAUCACUAUUGGAGACGGAACUACGCUGUCACGACCCGCUUUAUCAAGGGUGUUGACAAAAGGGCCACCAUCACUAAAGGCUGGAGCGACUUCUUCCGUUAGGCACACAUGAACGAAGGGUGAGUAUAUGCUUUCGCCUUCAAAUGCACUUCUAAGGGACUCUGCCUGAUCGUCUACUCAAUAUAAGCAAGUUGCAAGAGCCCCUUGUUAUAUAACUUAGUAUUAGUACAGAUGCGUAUCAAGACUUCCGUGUUUAUCAUCCUUUUGGAUCUUACGUAAUCCCCUAAGACCAUCCUGUGCAUUUAGCUAUCGGUUAUUUGCCGCUUAGACUGCUAUGUGGUAUGCUUUUGAAACAACCUUGAUGGAAGAAAUAUAUGCUUUCACCUUUAAGUGCACAUCCAAAGGCCUCUGCAUGAUUGUCUAUCCAAUCUAAAUAGAUCAAAAGAGUCCUUUCCUACAUGACUUAUUGCAUCAUUUUCAAUCUUAUGUACUUACUGCGUAUAGAAUGAGCUAUUCUUUUCGAAUAACAAUAUGUUAAUGCAUGCUCUUACAAUAAUUAGCUUACACUCGGCCUUUGCGCCAUUAGCGCAACGGAUCAUCUAGUCUUAGUAAAGAUAGAACAAUUGGAGAAGCGAUCACCUUGGUGAACUCUUCGCUUAUAAGACUUACCCACCCAUAGAGUAGAAUCCCUACGCUAUGCAGCUAGAAAGAUUGGUCGACCCCAUUCUUCAUAUGCAGGCCUGGGAAGGAGCAAGGUAUCUCCUUUUCCAGAAAGAUGUGAACAAAUGGGUGCCAACUCAUCUGAUGUUUUACUUUCUAGUCCCAUUAUUUUGAAGGGAUAAGUAUAUUUUUCGUCCUCAAACUCUUCCAAGAGUUUAGAAAUCGUCCCUCAACUCCAAACCGGAUAGUCUUCGUCCCUCAACUAUCAAAACCGGAUAGUUUUCGUCCCUCGUGCCGCUUCGGCUGGUUUUAGUACGUGGUGAACAGUAACUCGGUGAACAGUAAAAUAUAAAAAAUAGCAAAAAAAAAUCUGAAAUUUUACAGCAUCGAAGAUACUCUGGUGCGCAAGACCCGUGCAAAAUUUCGUGGUGUUCCAACAUUCGAGCAGCUCACGGCAAACAAAAACUGUAAAUAUGUACAUCGGUGAACAGUAAAUUCAAAAAAUAGAAAAAAAUAAAAAAUUUAUGAAACUUUUUGGCAUCAAAGAUGCUCAGGUACGUAAGAUGCGUGCAAAAUUUCGUGAUCAAAUGACAUAUGAGGAGCUCUAGCCAAAAAAAAAAUAGCGCACUUUUUCAAAAAAUUAAAUUUGAGCCAAAUUUUGUUUUUUUGCCACGAGUUCGUACAAUGCCCAAACACCACGAAAAUUUGCACGCACGUUGCACACCCAAGCCUCUUUCAUGCCAAAAAAAAUUCAUACUGUUUUGAUUUUGUUUGCUAUUUUUUUGAAUUUACUAUUCACCGACGUAUAUAUUUGUAGUUUUUUGUUUGCCGUGAGCUGCUCGAAUGUCGAAACACCAUGAAAUUUUGCACGGGUCUUGCGCACCAGAGUAUCUUCGAUGCUGUAAAAUUUGCAGAUUUUUUAUAAUUUUUUUGCUAUUUUUUCCGAUUUUACUGUUCACCGCGUACUAAAACCGCCCGAAGCGGCACGAGGGACGAAAACUAUUCGGUUUUGAUAGUUGAGGGACGAAAACUAUCCGGUUUGGAGUUGAGGGACGAUUUCUAAACUCUCGGAAGAGUUCGAGGACGAAAAAUAUACUUAUCCCUAUUUUCAAAGAAACUGACGUUGUAAAUGGAAACCCCUGAACCACUUCUUACUUUUGGAUUUGGUGGGAGCCUGCCAAGUGGGAGACCCAGAAAGAAGCCAUCCCGGUGUGUAUCAUCAGUGGGUGUUAAGCUUGUCUGUGUAGAUAUUUAUUGUAUAAAAGGUGUUGCAUGUUUGAAUCACUCCUGACUAUAGCAUUUAAGAACCCUGUCUCUCGAUCUCAUCCUUAUGCAAGGGAGACUAUCUCUAGGACUUUGUUUGUGGUCGACAAGCUAUGUGUCUAUCUUAGACCAGAGCUGUCAGGAUACUACACCGGCUUUCAUAUGUAAGACAAUGUUGUACCAAAGUCAAAAACUGAUGUUAUUUAUCAAGUCUUUCGAACAUAGUUAGUCCCAUCCUUUUCAUCCGGCCACUAGACUAGUUUGGUCUCUUCAAGGAGAGAAGUCCUUUCUCGAGGAGUCCAAGUAUUGGAUAUAUUGGUGGAGUAGAUAGUAGGUAAAAAGUAACCACUACAUGGUAGAUAGCGUCCCUUCCUUACUUUUCUUAAUAAGCCCUUGAUCGAGUAGUUCAUCCGAAAGCAUUUGAUCCAUCAGAUCAAUGCUUGAUCUGCUACGGUUCAAGACCUAGGAACGGAAACAACUGGAUGAUACGCUUCUUUCUCUUAGUCAGCUUUAUCUCAUAUUGCCUACGAAGCCGUGGAUCCAAGCACUGCUAUAUUAAUUCUACUUGGCUGCCGCCCAUAGGGCCUAAGGGAAGACGUACGGAGGAAUGGUCUUUGGGCAUUUGUGACCAACACCCCAUUUAUCACCACACUCUUUUUUGGGCGCUGCUUCUCUGUCUGUAUCUUCAAUACACUAAGAAAAUUGAAAAUAAUAUUGUAGAGAUAAAAAAUAAACUAAGAAAAUUCCUCCUGAUCGUUUUUUUAGUCUAGUAUAAUUAUUAUUUUCGCAAAAAUGUUUGUCCAGCCAAAAAUGCUGACUAAUUUAAGUAAUUUGCAAACUACUGACAAAUACACCCAUACACUUGCUGUCAUAGCCAUGUGGUUAAUGGCUUUUACUGGCCAAAUGGAAUUGUGAAGUGGUUCUUAGCAAGGGAAACUUGGUUUCCAUGAUGUUUUACUGAGUUAGGGAAACCAAUAGAUACACAAAAUCAAUAUGGGGGCCUCACACCUAUGCACCUGCCACUUCUUCUCCCCUGCCUCGUAUGAAUUUGCACAGCAUCAAUCAAUGCUGAAAAUGCAGCUUAUCAGAAUUUCAGGGCUUUCAGUCGUUAUAACAGUACAAGCAGUCGAUCAAUGGUGAUCUGCCUGCUUUAUACAUAUGUGAAAGUAAGCACCAAUAGUCAAGCAUGUUAACACCUAUCCUUCGUCAUAUGCCUGUAACUUAUCUUCAGUACGUCUUUUCUGAAGAAAAGGAAAAACAUUUUCCUGAAAUGGUAUGUACUUGUUUUGAUUUUCUCCGAAUCACAAUUUGGCUUUAAGAAAAGUGGGCCUUUGUUACUGUACCAUAAAGUUAAGAAAAAGGGAGGAAAGAACGCACAAAAUAUUGAAAUCCUGAUGACCUUCUAAAAACAGUAUAGUUCAUCAGUUAUCCGAGCUUGUCAUAUACAGACUUUUUUCUAGUGAGAAAUAUGUUUUCCCUUAGUUUCCCAGUAGCUUGUCUCAGUAGCAGUGUAGUUUUAUCUGCAAUUAUAUGCUUGUGAGCUGUAGUAACCAUCGUGCCCCGCAAAUUUUCACUAUGCAAUGCUAUUUAUCGUUCAUUUUUUGGAGUAACUAUAUUAUUUGUAUGACGCCCUGAAUGAAGUUGGUUACUCCGAUGUGAUCCCCGCAUGCUAGGCUUGUGUGAAGUACUACCUUUCAUCCAUUUUACAGAUAACUCCAUUCUUAUUUGUCUUUUGACUUCAAUCAUGACCACUGGUGGCACUGAUGGUGUCUCAACGCUCCUGAAAGUCAAUAAAGAGAUCAAAUUCAGAUCCACAUUCAGUCAGUCAUUCAUUGGCAGGUAGAAGUCCUGUGAAGCACGUACAUUGUUUUUCACCUUCUACGUACAAGAGCUUGAUGGAGCUAUCCAUGUGCCUAUUAGCUUCUCUAAAUGGUCUCGUGACUAAAAAGACUCUGCCGCGCCAACACCUGAUUAAUUGCAUCGGUUUCUGCUCAAGUGCCUAAUGCAAUCUUCUGUCUUUGAUAAAACACUGCCAGGUUCCACGCGCACUAAAUCUAAUGAACUUUUUAGUUCUAUUUCAGGAUAUGGAACAUAAGGAAACCCCCCUUUAAGGGAGCAGGUGAGGAUUCCCAAGGAAGAGCAGCUUGCUUCAAACAAGAUUGACACAAUUAGUUUGGGUGCAUUUGUGCUUGUGUUCAAGCCAUGGGAGGAACUCGUUGUUCACAACAAGGACUUUGAUGUUUCUGCUCUGAAGAAGUUCAUUGAAGCUGGCAGCAGCCUGAACUCUGGCAACCGUUGCCUCUUGAAAUUCUUGUAGAGCAAUGCUUCACACGGUAGCCACUGAUAUGCAACUUGCUUUCUAUGGAGCUUGAUUAUUGCGUACUUCUAUCUGCCAGUGAUUCUUAGCAAUGAUGGGCCAGAAAACGAUACUACUUUAUAGUGAUCUUAUAUUUCUUUA
Long non-coding RNA from Triticum aestivum (bread wheat), 7253 nucleotides. RefSeq lists it as uncharacterized. The transcript is spliced from 14 exons. Lineage: Eukaryota; Viridiplantae; Streptophyta; Magnoliopsida; Poales; Poaceae. The record is from RefSeq and is a predicted model, not a curated record.